AUUGUGGUCAAAUAUUCCAUCAAGCCAAAAAUGCCCUUGUGUAGGUGGCAACAUACCCUUUUAUUGCAUAAAGAUGUCAUUUAUUAGAAAGGGAAGGCAUAAGAGCUCUUUGCCACCCUUCCCUGGAAGAAUCAAGAUCUGCACACACACAUGCACGCAUGCAUGCACGCACACACACACAUACACUCUAUUUAGGAACAAGUACCUCCUAACUUUCUCCUCUCUCUUGAGCUAUUCUAGCCUCCCUUCUCUUCCUCUCAUUAAGUUCUGGGAUAAAAGGAGAAGAACUCUUCAGUCUUGAACAUUAUUCACAUUGAUACUUAAUUAACAUUUUUAGCUAUAAUUCAGUACAUUUUUUUUAAUUUUAAUUUAAUUAUUUCACAAUAACAGCAAAUGAACUUAUGUUUCUGUAAUUAACAUAGAUAUCUAACCUGCAGAUAGUCAAAGUCUCUUUAUGGAUCUAGGAUGUGGAGAAGUUAGAAAGAGUCCAAGGGCAAGUGAUAAAAAUGAUAAAGAGGUUAGAAGUCAGGUUGUAUGAAGAAAGGUUGAGAGAGCUAAGCAUGUUUAGCUUAGAGAAAAAGCUGGAAAAGGGAGGCAAUGAUAUCAAUCUUCAAAUAUCAGAAAGGCUGCCAUAAAUACGAGAGAGAACAACUCUUUUCCAUCAUUACAGAUGGUAGGACUUGAAGCAAUGGCUCUAAAUUUCAGCAAAGUAGCUUUAGAUUAGACAUCAGGAAAAACUUCCUUAUUGUUAGAACAAGAAAGUGGAUGAACUGCCCAGGGAAGUUGUGGAAUCUCCUUCACUGGAGCAUCUCAGGAAGAGGCUGGAUAAGCAUUGGACAAGGAUGAUUUAGGACCUUGCGUGCAGAUGACCCUUGAGGUCCUUAUGAUCCUAUGAUUUUCUUAAUAACUUGGUGAUUCAGGCACUUGCCCAGGAAGUGAGAAACUUGAUUUCUAGGCCCACUUCAUCCUGAAUGGGUUUGUACCCAUACCUACUUCUUAGGGCAGUGCCAGUCAAUGGUGUAACUAUAGUGGGACAAAUGGUGCACUGGCCCCAGGCACUGACUUAGAGAGGGUAUUAGCAUGGUCCCCUCCAGCCCCAGAAGUCUUUUCCAUGGGAGAUGUAACCAUGUGCAGAUGGGACACAGAGAGCCAGUCAGGUACAGCCCCAUGCCCUGUAGUGUAUCUGGAGGAAGUGGAAACAAAUGAAAUAUAUUCCAUCUGUGCCCUGCCUCCCCCCCUUUAUAGGCUUUGCCAUGGGAUGUGCAGUCCUUCACCCAGAAGCAUAUCUGCGGGGGGAGGGGGAAGGGGAACGAAUGGGGCAUCAGGAACAGCACUGGAGAGUCUGCACCAGUUGGGCUGCUGAACCAGCAUGCAGAGAGCCCAUUCCUCAGCUACAGUAGGCAAGCUCACACUGCUACAGAGAAGCUGUAGCAGCUGCUACCUGAGAUCAGAGAGCAGGGACAGGUAUGAUCCUGAACCCCCACUCCUGUUUUAUAAUGGUCAGCAUAAUUCCCUCUUCCAUUCCCCCUGCCCCACAUUUAUUUUGUUAUGCCUCUGGUGCCAAUUGCACGAGACCAUGAACUAGGCAGGACUUGACACCUUUCCCCACCUCCUACUAAAACUGGGACACUGGAUGGAAAGGAAUGUGAAGAUCACAGAGCCCAUGGGAGCAUGACUGUGUACCCCAGUGAGAAGUACACUUUCCCAGGAAGAAGGAAUCCUGAGUUUUGCCUGCUUCUCUCUUCUUCUGGUGCUAGUUACCCAGUUCAUCCAAAUGCCUCUGUCUUGGCAGCAGAGGCUGAAACACAAGAAUUCCUCUCCUCCUCCACUACCAAGUACCAAACCACUAAACUAUAGUUACAUUUUCUCCUGUUUGCUCCCUGGCAUAAUGCAUUUAACAUUAGAUAGCCACUGGUCAGGCAAAAGAAAUAACAGCAGAGGCCAAAACUCAAAAUAUCCUCAAGCAAGAGAAUUAGGAAAUGUGAGUUCAAAUCUGCGUAGGGUGAGGUGGGCCUAGAAUCCAUUUCCUGACAACUGCCUUAACACUUGCGUUAGUGAGCAAAAGGUAAGCAGCAGCACCACCACAUUGAUCUCAACAUCAAACAGUGUCUGAGCAUGUUUUACCUGACAAAGGAUCUGGAGAAUGAGUCAGAAUGUAAGUGAAUUACCAAACUGAAUUGGAUCAUAAAGUGUAAGUGGAGCCUUUAUACCUAUGUGCUCACAGUAGCUUACUUCUGAGCAUGAACAGCAGACCAAGUCUAGUUGCCCAGGCUGGGUUUUCUUCAGGCCCAUGCAAAAAGGUUUAAAUGAAAGUCCAUAAAGAAUCUAGGUGCCUUAGCAGAAUUUUGGCUGUUGCAAAAGCUAGAAUAGGAUCAUAUUUAGUGACUUUGAUGCCUAAAGGCUCAUAAACUUAUGAUCUGACCCAUAGUUACCAAAAGUAAUACUAAAAGGUUUAACUGUAUUAUUUGCCUGAGACUGGAAAGUCAACUUUAGUAAAAGCACCUAGUUCUCAGUAUGAGGGCAAGCUCAAGUAUGAAUUCAGCUCACACACAUUAGGGUCUACUUGCAAAUACAUUUAGUUGGGCUCCUUGGCACAAAGGUUCAACCACCUGAUAUCCCCCACCCAUCUCAUCCUUGGGCAUUUUCAUUAGGGUUGAAAUAUUUUUAGAACCAGCACAUUAUAGAAAAUGGCCCCUAUUGGAGCCAUUAGCAUUUUCCUUUUCAGCAAUCAUAUUGGGUGAUGGAACAUCGCCGAGUGUAAUGAAAUGCUCAUUCCUUUGACCAGUUCAGCAAACUAAACUGGUUUCCUGAACAUCCAGGAGCAUAUAGGUCUCUUGUCUGGUGGUAAGACCCUAAUCCUGCAAACAUGUACAUGCAGAACUACCCCCGAUAUCAAAGGUAAAUAUGUGCAUAAUUAUUUUUCAGGCUCUAACAAAUUAUAGCACCUUCAGACUAAACUAUAUCCUUUUCUUCUGUAAUAUGUGCAUGAUGAGAAAUCUCUGUGAUAUGUUUCCAUUUAAAUGAAUUGUAUUUGUGUAUUUGGUGUACAUGAGUAUAUUACAUGUUUUGUCAAUCUUGGAAUUUCAACAAGAUUAUAAGCAGUUUCUUUUAUAAACAAUUCUUUCAUCAAAUAACCAAAGCUGCAACUUCUAUAUUAUGAAUAAAUUUGCUUUAUUAUAAACUAGUGGCUUAGAACAGUGAUUCUUGUACUCAUCCAGUACAAUAAAGGAUGUAUACUGAUUUCAGGCAAAGUAUUGGAAUUAACUCCGUGUGUACACCUGCAUACGCAAACCACUUCUGAUUGAAAUAAACAUUUCAUAACUGUGCUUCA
Long non-coding RNA from Gavialis gangeticus (Gharial), 3331 nucleotides. RefSeq lists it as uncharacterized. NCBI's taxonomy places the organism in Eukaryota, Metazoa, Chordata, Crocodylia, Gavialidae. The record is from RefSeq and is a predicted model, not a curated record. The transcript is spliced from 2 exons.